UACGUAGGGUCCGAGCGUUGUCCGGAGUUACUGGGCGUAAAGCGCGCGCAGGCGGCGGUGCUGGCCCGGCGUGAAAGCCCCCGGCUCAACCGGGGAGGGUCGUCGGGGACCGCACCGCUUGAGGGCGGUAGGGGCUGGUGGAAUGCCUGGUGUAGUGGUGAAAUGCGUAGAGAUCAGGCGGAACACCCGUGGCGAAGGCGGCCAGCUGGGCCGUCCCUGACGCUGAGGCGCGAAGGCGUGGGGAGCAAACGGG
RNAcentral lists this ribosomal RNA (253 nucleotides) under uncultured bacterium. RNAcentral describes it as "partial 16S ribosomal RNA". It matches the Rfam family "Bacterial small subunit ribosomal RNA", at positions 524 to 776 of the family's 1533-position model. The record is from RNAcentral.